GCCGCCGCCGGCGCGGCUGCGGGCGUCGGCGCGCUGCUGGUGAGCUGGCACUACGGGCCGGUGCCGUUCGACACGGCUCCGGUGACCCC
RNAcentral lists this transfer RNA (89 nucleotides) under Mycolicibacterium aichiense. RNAcentral describes it as "tRNA-Ser(gct)". Lineage: Bacteria; Bacillati; Actinomycetota; Actinomycetes; Mycobacteriales; Mycobacteriaceae. The record is from RNAcentral.